Molecule: ribosomal RNA, 2904 nt
Filed under: Escherichia coli
Lineage: Bacteria; Pseudomonadati; Pseudomonadota; Gammaproteobacteria; Enterobacterales; Enterobacteriaceae
Also listed under: 2 other names
Description: bacterial LSU rRNA
Rfam family: Bacterial large subunit ribosomal RNA
Source: RNAcentral
UUAAGCGACUAAGCGUACACGGUGGAUGCCCUGGCAGUCAGAGGCGAUGAAGGACGUGCUAAUCUGCGAUAAGCGUCGGUAAGGUGAUAUGAACCGUUAUAACCGGCGAUUUCCGAAUGGGGAAACCCAGUGUGUUUCGACACACUAUCAUUAACUGAAUCCAUAGGUUAAUGAGGCGAACCGGGGGAACUGAAACAUCUAAGUACCCCGAGGAAAAGAAAUCAACCGAGAUUCCCCCAGUAGCGGCGAGCGAACGGGGAGCAGCCCAGAGCCUGAAUCAGUGUGUGUGUUAGUGGAAGCGUCUGGAAAGGCGCGCGAUACAGGGUGACAGCCCCGUACACAAAAAUGCACAUGCUGUGAGCUCGAUGAGUAGGGCGGGACACGUGGUAUCCUGUCUGAAUAUGGGGGGACCAUCCUCCAAGGCUAAAUACUCCUGACUGACCGAUAGUGAACCAGUACCGUGAGGGAAAGGCGAAAAGAACCCCGGCGAGGGGAGUGAAAAAGAACCUGAAACCGUGUACGUACAAGCAGUGGGAGCACAGAGCAAUCUGUGUGACUGCGUACCUUUUGUAUAAUGGGUCAGCGACUUAUAUUCUGUAGCAAGGUUAACCGAAUAGGGGAGCCGAAGGGAAACCGAGUCUUAACUGGGCGUUAAGUUGCAGGGUAUAGACCCGAAACCCGGUGAUCUAGCCAUGGGCAGGUUGAAGGUUGGGUAACACUAACUGGAGGACCGAACCGACUAAUGUUGAAAAAUUAGCGGAUGACUUGUGGCUGGGGGUGAAAGGCCAAUCAAACCGGGAGAUAGCUGGUUCUCCCCGAAAGCUAUUUAGGUAGCGCCUCGUGAAUUCAUCUCCGGGGGUAGAGCACUGUUUCGGCAAGGGGGUCAUCCCGACUUACCAACCCGAUGCAAACUACGAAUACCGGAGAAUGUUAUCACGGGAGACACACGGCGGGUGCUAACGUCCGUCGUGAAGAGGGAAACAACCCAGACCGCCAGCUAAGGUCCCAAAGUCAUGGUUAAGUGGGAAACGAUGUGGGAAGGCCCAGACAGCCAGGAUGUUGGCUUAGAAGCAGCCAUCAUUUAAAGAAAGCGUAAUAGCUCACUGGUCGAGUCGGCCUGCGCGGAAGAUGUAACGGGGCUAAACCAUGCACCGAAGCUGCGGCAGCGACGCUGAUGCGUUGUUGGGUAGGGGAGCGUUCUGUAAGCCUGCGAAGGUGUGCUGUGAGGCAUGCUGGAGGUAUCAGAAGUGCGAAUGCUGACAUAAGUAACGAUAAAGCGGGUGAAAAGCCCGCUCGCCGGAAGACCAAGGGUUCCUGUCCAACGUUAAUCGGGGCAGGGUGAGUCGACCCCUAAGGCGAGGCCGAAAGGCGUAGUCGAUGGGAAACAGGUUAAUAUUCCUGUACUUGGUGUUACUGCGAAGGGGGGACGGAGAAGGCUAUGUUGGCCGGGCGACGGUUGUCCCGGUUUAAGCGUGUAGGCUGGUUUUCCAGGCAAAUCCGGAAAAUCAAGGCUGAGGCGUGAUGACGAGGCACUACGGUGCUGAAGCAACAAAUGCCCUGCUUCCAGGAAAAGCCUCUAAGCAUCAGGUAACAUCAAAUCGUACCCCAAACCGACACAGGUGGUCAGGUAGAGAAUACCAAGGCGCUUGAGAGAACUCGGGUGAAGGAACUAGGCAAAAUGGUGCCGUAACUUCGGGAGAAGGCACGCUGAUAUGUAGGUGAAGUCCCUCGCGGAUGGAGCUGAAAUCAGUCGAAGAUACCAGCUGGCUGCAACUGUUUAUUAAAAACACAGCACUGUGCAAACACGAAAGUGGACGUAUACGGUGUGACGCCUGCCCGGUGCCGGAAGGUUAAUUGAUGGGGUUAGCGCAAGCGAAGCUCUUGAUCGAAGCCCCGGUAAACGGCGGCCGUAACUAUAACGGUCCUAAGGUAGCGAAAUUCCUUGUCGGGUAAGUUCCGACCUGCACGAAUGGCGUAAUGAUGGCCAGGCUGUCUCCACCCGAGACUCAGUGAAAUUGAACUCGCUGUGAAGAUGCAGUGUACCCGCGGCAAGACGGAAAGACCCCGUGAACCUUUACUAUAGCUUGACACUGAACAUUGAGCCUUGAUGUGUAGGAUAGGUGGGAGGCUUUGAAGUGUGGACGCCAGUCUGCAUGGAGCCGACCUUGAAAUACCACCCUUUAAUGUUUGAUGUUCUAACGUGGACCCGUAAUCCGGGUUGCGGACAGUGUCUGGUGGGUAGUUUGACUGGGGCGGUCUCCUCCUAAAGAGUAACGGAGGAGCACGAAGGUUGGCUAAUCCUGGUCGGACAUCAGGAGGUUAGUGCAAUGGCAUAAGCCAGCUUGACUGCGAGCGUGACGGCGCGAGCAGGUGCGAAAGCAGGUCAUAGUGAUCCGGUGGUUCUGAAUGGAAGGGCCAUCGCUCAACGGAUAAAAGGUACUCCGGGGAUAACAGGCUGAUACCGCCCAAGAGUUCAUAUCGACGGCGGUGUUUGGCACCUCGAUGUCGGCUCAUCACAUCCUGGGGCUGAAGUAGGUCCCAAGGGUAUGGCUGUUCGCCAUUUAAAGUGGUACGCGAGCUGGGUUUAGAACGUCGUGAGACAGUUCGGUCCCUAUCUGCCGUGGGCGCUGGAGAAUUGAGGGGGGCUGCUCCUAGUACGAGAGGACCGGAGUGGACGCAUCACUGGUGUUCGGGUUGUCAUGCCAAUGGCACUGCCCGGUAGCUAAAUGCGGAAGAGAUAAGUGCUGAAAGCAUCUAAGCACGAAACUUGCCCCGAGAUGAGUUCUCCCUGACUCCUUGAGAGUCCUGAAGGAACGUUGAAGACGACGACGUUGAUAGGCCGGGUGUGUAAGCGCAGCGAUGCGUUGAGCUAACCGGUACUAAUGAACCGUGAGGCUUAACCUU